UGCUGUACUUUACUGUAAUGAGAGGACAGGACAGACGCUGUACUUUACUGUAAUGAGAGGACAGGACAGAUGCUGUAUGCUGUACUUUACUGUAAUGAGAGGACAGGACAGAUGCUGUACUUUACUGUAAUGAGAAGACAGGACAGAUGCUGUAUGGUACUUUACUGUAAUGAGAGGACAGGACAGAUGCUGUACUUUACUGUAAUGAGAGUGAAACCAGGGUUCAAUUAAAGUUGUGUUGUCGACAAGCACACUGAAAAUGUGCCUUUUAAAGGCAAUUUCCCUGACGUUCACAGAGAUCGCAAACACUACGGAUGUUGGCUCAAGCGUAAAUUACCUUUAAAAGUCAAAAUUCCCAAAUUCCCAUAGUAGUCCUGUAAAACAGUUAAAACACAGACAAGAGGAUUGAGUUAAUUUCAUAUUGCACUUUAUUCAGCUCUAGAGAGAUAUCUGCAGCUGGGAGCCCUGUCAGUCUCAGGACAACACUUGUAUUGCUUUCAGACUCCCGUUCUGCAGACAAUAGGCCCCUCAGACGUUGAGUUGUCAUUCAACGAUCUAAUAGUAGGGACUCCGUUCAAUCCGUAGCGAUGAAGAUCUGCUCUACAGCACAAUAUAAAUUUAAAGGCAACGUUACCGCGUUAGCAGAGACUGCAUUCACUGUAAACGUUUCAUAGGUCGGCUCAAUCGGAAAUUACGUUUUAAUCUCAAUCGCGCUAUAACACUGAACUUUGGCGAUACGGAUUGAAUCGAGCCCUAGGUCUGUGUGUCAACUCUCCUACAGUAGGUCUCUGUGUGUCAUCAACUCUCCUACAGUAGGUCUCUGUGUGUCAUCAACUCUCCUACAGUAGGUCUCUGUGUGUCAUCAACUCUCCUACAGUAGGUCUCUGUGUUUGUGUAAGAACAACACGUAGAGAAAAUGCAACCGUUCUCUCUCUUUAUGGACAGAGCUAUUGAAGAGGGGGAUGAACAGACACAGUAAGGUACAGGUGGAAUAAGAUUACAGUGAAAUAAACAUUUUGAUGUAAAAAAAAAAAA
Molecule: long non-coding RNA, 1035 nt
Organism: Coregonus clupeaformis (lake whitefish)
Lineage: Eukaryota; Metazoa; Chordata; Actinopteri; Salmoniformes; Salmonidae
Exons: 2
Source: RefSeq, a predicted model, not a curated record